CUCCUCUUUUUCCUUGUAGGAAGAAUGGAAAUCAAUAGGAAAUUUCUAACAUGGAUAUGGAUUUUAUUUCCUGCAUAGAUCAUGUAUGGCCUCAAAAUGUCCUGCUUGAAAACUGUCUGCCCUCUUAAGAUUCUCCACAUAUCUUCCCAAACCACUACACCAUAAAUGUUAAAUCUCCAAGGAAGAAGCUGUAUAAAAUUCCUGUGAUCU
Molecule: non-coding RNA, 210 nt
Organism: Ceratotherium simum simum (southern white rhinoceros)
Lineage: Eukaryota; Metazoa; Chordata; Mammalia; Perissodactyla; Rhinocerotidae
Source: RefSeq, a predicted model, not a curated record